ACGGGGGGAGCAAGCGUUGUUCGGAUUUACUGGGCGUAAAGGGCGCGUAGGCGGCCAGCACAAGUCAGUUGUGAAAUCUCCGGGCUUAACUCGGAAAGGUCAACUGAUACUGUGCGGCUAGAGUGCAGAAGGGGCAACUGGAAUUCUCGGUGUAGCAGUGAAAUGCGUAGAUAUCAGGAGGAACACCGAUGGCGAAGGCAGGUCUCUGGGCUGACACUGACGCUCAUGCACGAAAGCGUGGGGAGCAAACAGGA
RNAcentral lists this ribosomal RNA (254 nucleotides) under uncultured prokaryote. RNAcentral describes it as "partial 16S ribosomal RNA". It matches the Rfam family "Bacterial small subunit ribosomal RNA", at positions 525 to 777 of the family's 1533-position model. The record is from RNAcentral.